Non-coding RNA from Hanseniaspora opuntiae, 71 nucleotides. Lineage: Eukaryota; Fungi; Ascomycota; Saccharomycetes; Saccharomycodales; Saccharomycodaceae. The record is from Rfam.
GAGUUCUUAGUUAAAUGGUUUAAUAUUCGUCUUCAAAACGAAAGUACUGUGUUCGAUCCACAGAGAACUUG